GUUCGGAUUGUAGGCUGCAACUCGCCUACAUGAAGUUGGAAUCGCUAGUAAUCGCGAAUCAGAAUGUCGCGGUGAAUACGUUCCCGGGUCUUGUACACACCGCCCGUCACACCACGAGAGUUUACAACACCCGAAGUCAGUGGCCUAACCGCAAGGAGGGAGCUGCCUAAGGUGGGGUAGAUGAUUGGGGUGAAGUCGUAACAAGGUAGC
This 210-nucleotide ribosomal RNA is filed under the name uncultured bacterium. RNAcentral's name for it is "partial 16S ribosomal RNA". It matches the Rfam family "Bacterial small subunit ribosomal RNA", at positions 1291 to 1500 of the family's 1533-position model. The record is from RNAcentral.